AAGUCGUAACAAGGUAACCGUAGGUGAACCUGCGGUUGGAUCAUUACCAAAUAUCCAAUGGGAAAGUGCGGCAGUGUCUAGGGAUCGGUCUUUGGACCCCUACCUAGGCCCUACGCCUUUUUCAUUUCCCACCUCUUGUGCAAUGUAAUGUAUUUGGCGGGCCAUGCUCGGCGGGCUACUAGGACUUGUGCCUAGUAGUCUAAUGAGAUUGCUUAUGAGAGAGACCUCUCUCUCAACCGUCAUGUUAACACACCUAAUAUUAUCUAUAACAACAAUCUGACGUUUAUAUGCUAGAGUGCGCGUUUGCGUACACUGGAACAUAACCGAAAACAACUUUUGACAACGGAUCUCUUGGCUCUC
This 360-nucleotide unclassified non-coding RNA is filed under the name fungal sp. Its description in RNAcentral is "partial internal transcribed spacer region". The stretch from base 1 to 46 matches the Rfam family "Eukaryotic small subunit ribosomal RNA", at positions 1786 to 1831 of the family's 1831-position model. The record is from RNAcentral. Lineage: Eukaryota; Fungi.